AGUGAACGCUGGCGGUAGGCCUAACACAUGCAAGUCGAACGGCAGCACAGUAAGAGCUUGCUCUUACGGGUGGCGAGUGGCGGACGGGUGAGGAAUACAUCGGAAUCUACUUUUUCGUGGGGGAUAACGUAGGGAAACUUACGCUAAUACCGCAUACGACCUACGGGUGAAAGCAGGGGAUCUUCGGACCUUGCGCGAUUGAAUGAGCCGAUGUCGGAUUAGCUAGUUGGCGGGGUAAAGGCCCACCAAGGCGACGAUCCGUAGCUGGUCUGAGAGGAUGAGCAGCCACACUGAAACUGAGACGCGGUCCAGACUCCUACGGGAGGCAGCAGUGGGGAAUAGUGGACGAUGGGCGCAAGCCUGAUCCAGCCAUACAGCGUGGGUGAAGAAGGCCUUCGGGUUGUAAAGCCCUUUUGUUGGGAAAGAAAAGCAGCAGGUUAAUACCCCGCUGUUCUGACGGUACCCAAAGAAUAAGCACCGGCUAACUUCGUG
RNAcentral lists this ribosomal RNA (492 nucleotides) under uncultured bacterium. Its description in RNAcentral is "partial 16S ribosomal RNA". It matches the Rfam family "Bacterial small subunit ribosomal RNA", at positions 29 to 507 of the family's 1533-position model. The record is from RNAcentral.